Molecule: ribosomal RNA, 497 nt
Filed under: uncultured bacterium
Lineage: Bacteria
Description: partial 16S ribosomal RNA
Rfam family: Bacterial small subunit ribosomal RNA
Source: RNAcentral
AAUGAACGCUGGCGGCAUGCCUAAUACAUGCAAGUCGAGCGAACGGACGGGGAGCUUGCUUCUCUGAUGUUAGCGGCGGACGGGUGAGUAACACGUGGUUAAACUACCUAUACGACUGGGAUAACUUCAGGGAACCAUAGCUACUACCGGAUGAUAUUUUGAACUGCAUUGGUCAAACGUGAAAGACGGUCUUUCUGUCACUUAUAGAUGGAUCCGCGCUUCAUUAGCUAGUUGGUAAGGUAACGGCUUACCAAGGCAACGAUGCAUAGCCGACCUCAGAGGGUGAUCGCCCAGACUGUAUGUGAGACACGGUACAGACUCCUACGGGAGGCAGCAGUAGGGAAUCUUCCGCGAUGGGGGAAAGCCGGAUGGAGGAACGUCGCGUGAGGGAUGAAGGUCUUAGGAUCGUAAAACUCUGUUAUUAUGGAAGAACAAAUGUGUAAGUAACUGGGCACAUAUUGACGGUACCGAAUCAGAAAGCCCCGGCUAACUACGUG